UACAGAGGGUGCGAGCGUUAAUCGGAAUUACUGGGCGUAAAGCGCGCGUAGGCGGCUUUGCAAGUCGAGUGUGAAAUCCCCAGGCUCAACCUGGGAACUGCUCUCGAGACUGCAUCGCUAGAGUAUGGGAGAGGGAAGUGGAAUUUCAGGUGUAGCGGUGAAAUGCGUAGAUAUCUGAAGGAACAUCAGUGGCGAAAGCGACUUCCUGGACCAAUACUGACGCUCAUGUGCGAAAGCGUGGGGAGCAAACAGG
This 253-nucleotide ribosomal RNA is filed under the name uncultured bacterium. RNAcentral's name for it is "partial 16S ribosomal RNA". It matches the Rfam family "Bacterial small subunit ribosomal RNA", at positions 524 to 776 of the family's 1533-position model. The record is from RNAcentral.